This is a ribosomal RNA of Ochotona princeps (American pika), 122 nucleotides long. The record is from Ensembl. NCBI's taxonomy places the organism in Eukaryota, Metazoa, Chordata, Mammalia, Lagomorpha, Ochotonidae.
GUCUACGGCCAUACCACCCUGAACGCGCCCGAUCUCGUCGGAUCUUGGAAGCUAAGCAGGGUCGGGCCUGGUUAGUACUUGGAUGGGAGAAGCCAAGCUUGAGUGCUCAGGAGAAACUGACA